CAAAGGAGGAAAAACAGGGAGACUAAGAAAAAGAAGUGAGUUUUAUGGAGCAAUUUGAAGGGGGAAAAAGGAGAGUGAAAAAUGUGAGCUAUUUCAAGAAGCAUACAAGAAAAGUUACCAAACCGAGAGGUCAAAACACAAACAAAAGGAGCAUUGAGGAGAGUCUCCCAGGAGAAGAAAGAACUCGAUGAGAUUCCCUGCUUGCAUCUUUUGGUUGGAAAGAUGAGAGGCAGGGAUGUCCAAGCAAAGAAAACCUUAAUGGUCAUGGAUGAAGGUGACACGGUCAUGGACUAGUGAUUAAUUUCUGGAGAAGAGAAAAAGACAGCAAUUGGAAGUGGGAGAAGACUUGGAUGAAUGAGAAGAAGACUUGAAUGAGAAGAGAAGGGAAAAGGAAUUGAGAGUUCAGAUGGUGACGUUUUAUCACGGGUCGAGGGAGCUGGCCGUUUCUGUCAGGUGCAGCUAUGUGGCUUGGAUGUGAAUAGAAGAGAAGAUGUGAAGAAGGUAGGAGAGAGGACGACUCCUGUUCUGCCACCCUGGCCACUUCUCAACGGCUCUGCUCCAACCAGCUCUUCUUCACCGUCUUUAAAGUCCUGUCUCUACUGCACAAUGUGGAUGUGCUCAGAGGAUGUGAGAUGCCUGUGUCCUCUCUCCAACUACACAAAAGCUCCCUGAGGGCAGGAACACUGCCUCAUGCCUCUGUGUAUCCCCAACAUGCCCAAGCCCAGUGCUGAGCACAUGGUGCUCAGUACGUUAUUGCCCUUUGCUUGAUCCCCAACAAGUGCCUUUUAAAUUGGGAUGCUCAGAGUUGAAAUAGUCUCUCAGUUGUUUUUGUUCGCCAUUCUUAAUCAUCUUCCUCUUGUUGAUAUGCUAUGGUGUCUGGAUCAUCCCACUUGAGUUGUAUUAACCCUAGGUGGACUUGAUGCCAGCCACCUGGGUGUUGCCCUCAGCACUUGCAUCCUGGCGCUCACCUCAUGUCCCUCAGUCUCUUGCGCUGGUUCCACAUCCCUGAGUCACGACCACUGUCCUUAGGUGUGUGUUUGUGCUUACUUGGUGUAUUCAUGCUCAUCUCAACUGUUGUUUAGCAAUGCUCUUUAUUCACCUUUUGCCAAUUUCCUGAUUCAAUGGCCUGUCCCAACAUUCUCCAUUCUUCCACUUCACCUCCAGGCCCAGAGCUUGAAAACUGUCUCACCUGCUUCUUUAUUGAGCUGGUGGGACCCCCAGGAGCCUGAGUACUGCAUCUCUGCAUCCCUCUUCUUCCAGAUAUGUGGAGGCAGUGGUGUUCUGGGUUGUUUUUGGUGUGGGGGGUUUUCCUUUCUCAUUUCCAAGGCUCACCCCUUUCCCAGAGGGCCUGACUCCUUCAGGAUUUUAACAACUCAAAUUCCCGUCCGUCUGCAGUUUUUAGAUACCAUCAAUUUUUCUCUCAUUUUUCCCCCUUAAUCAAAAAACAAAGAAAGCUGUGUCGCCACUAUAAUAAAUUGAAAAUCAACAAAAGCACUUGCUCUUCCUUUCUCCUUCAGUUUCCAUCCUAUUUUUUCUUUUGUCUAAGGAAAUGUCCACAAAUUCUACCUUUGUUGUGACUUGCUCACCCCUCAGUCUCGUCAGUCACCUGGUUUCCACCCCUCCCUCCAUGUUGUCCACGCUGGGAAAGGUGCCAGGAGCCUU
Equus caballus (horse) is the source of this 1662-nucleotide long non-coding RNA. NCBI's taxonomy places the organism in Eukaryota, Metazoa, Chordata, Mammalia, Perissodactyla, Equidae. The record is from Ensembl.